RNAcentral lists this small RNA (28 nucleotides) under Bombyx mori (domestic silkworm). RNAcentral describes it as "ovarian small RNA-30874". The record is from RNAcentral. Lineage: Eukaryota; Metazoa; Arthropoda; Insecta; Lepidoptera; Bombycidae.
UGAAGAACUUGCGGAUUCGUAAUUGGAC